RNAcentral lists this ribosomal RNA (253 nucleotides) under uncultured bacterium. RNAcentral's name for it is "partial 16S ribosomal RNA". It matches the Rfam family "Bacterial small subunit ribosomal RNA", at positions 524 to 776 of the family's 1533-position model. The record is from RNAcentral.
UACGGAGGGUGCAAGCGUUAUCCGGAUUUACUGGGUUUAAAGGGGGCGUAGGUGGGUCUGUAAGUCAGUGGUGAAAUCUCCGAGCUUAACUCGGAAACUGCCAUUGAUACUAUAGGUCUUGAAUUAUCUGGAGGUAAGCGGAAUAUGUCAUGUAGCGGUGAAAUGCUUAGAUAUGACAUAGAACACCAAUUGCGAAGGCAGCUUACUACGGAUUGAUUGACACUGAGGCACGAAAGCGUGGGGAUCAAACAGG